AAGCUGCUCUCUGGCGACGAGUGGCGGACGGGUGAGUAACGCGUGGGAAUCUGCCUACUAGCGGGGGAUAGCCCGGAGAAAUCCGGAUUAAUACCGCAUACGCCCUACGGGGGAAAGCUGGGGAUCUUCGGACCUGGCACUAGUAGAUGAGCCCGCGUUAGAUUAGCUUGUUGGUGGGGUAAUGGCCUACCAAGGCGACGAUCUAUAGCUGGUCUGAGAGGACGAUCAGCCACACUGGGACUGAGACACGGCCCAGACUCCUACGGGAGGCAGCAGUGGGGAAUAUUGCACAAUGGGCGAAAGCCUGAUGCAGCAAUACCGCGUGUGUGAAGAAGGCCUGCGGGUUGUAAAGCACUUUCAAUAGUGAAGAAAAAUUGUCGGUUAAUACCCGACGAUCUUGACGUUAACUAUACAAGAAGCACCGGCUAACUCCGUGCCAGCAGCCGCGGUAAUACGGAGGGUGCAAGCGUUAAUCGGAAUUACUGGGCGUAAAGAGUACGUAGGUGGUCUGUUAAGUCAGAUGUGAAAGCCCCGGGCUUAACCUGGGAACUGCAUUUGAUACUGGCAGACUAGAAUAUGGUAGAGGGAGGUAGAAUUUCUGGUGUAGCGGUGAAAUGCGUAGAUAUCAGAAGGAAUACCAGUGGCGAAGGCGGCCUCCUGGACCAAUAUUGACACUGAGGUACGAAAGCGUGGGUAGCGAACAGGAUUAGAUACCCUGGUAGUCCACGCCGUAAACGAUGUCAACUAGCCGUUGGCCUCUUGAGAGGUCAGUGGCGCAGCCAACGCGUGAAGUUGACCGCCUGGGGAGUACGGCCGCAAGGCUAAAACUCAAAUGAAUUGACGGGGGCCCGCACAAGCGGUGGAGCAUGUGGUUUAAUUCGAUGCAACGCGAAGAACCUUACCUACCCUUGACAUCCUCAGAACUUGUUAGAGAUAACUUGGUGCCUUCGGGAACUGAGUGACAGGUGCUGCA
Molecule: ribosomal RNA, 973 nt
Filed under: uncultured bacterium
Lineage: Bacteria
Description: bacterial SSU rRNA
Rfam family: Bacterial small subunit ribosomal RNA
Source: RNAcentral